RNAcentral lists this transfer RNA (66 nucleotides) under Trifida elongata. RNAcentral describes it as "tRNA-Ser". It matches the Rfam family "tRNA". Rfam says of the family: Transfer RNA (tRNA) molecules are approximately 80 nucleotides in length. Their secondary structure includes four short double-helical elements and three loops (D, anti-codon, and T loops). Further hydrogen bonds mediate the characteristic L-shaped molecular structure. tRNAs have two regions of fundamental functional importance: the anti-codon, which is responsible for specific mRNA codon recognition, and the 3' end, to which the tRNAs corresponding amino acid is attached (by aminoacyl-tRNA synthetases). tRNAs cope with the degeneracy of the genetic code in two manners: having more than one tRNA (with a specific anti-codon) for a particular amino acid; and 'wobble' base-pairing, i.e. permitting non-standard base-pairing at the 3rd anti-codon position. The record is from RNAcentral. Lineage: Eukaryota; Metazoa; Arthropoda; Insecta; Hemiptera; Cicadellidae.
AGUUAUUUAGCUUAUUUUUAAAGCAUUUACUUUGAAAGUAAAAAAAAGAUUAAUAUUUAAUAACUU